UAACGGUCCUAAGGUAGCGAAAUUCCUUGUCGGGUAAGUUCCGACCCGCACGAAUGGCGUAACGAUGGCCACACUGUCUCCUCCCGAGACUCAGCGAAGUUGAAGUGGUUGUGAAGAUGCAAUCUACCCGCUGCUAGACGGAAAGACCCCGUGAACCUUUACUGUAGCUUUGCAUUGGACUUUGAAGUCACUUGUGUAGGAUAGGUGGGAGGCUUAGAAGCAGAGACGCCAGUCUCUGUGGAGCCGUCCUUGAAAUACCACCCUGGUGUCUUUGAGGUUCUAACCCAGACCCGUAAUCCGGGUCGGGGACCGUGCAUGGUAGGCAGUUUGACUGGGGCGGUCUCCUCCCAAAGAGUAACGGAGGAGUUCGAAGGUUACCUAGGUCCGGUCGGAAAUCGGACUGAUAGUGCAAUGGCAAAAGGUAGCUUAACUGCGAGACCGACAAGUCGAGCAGGUGCGAAAGCAGGACAUAGUGAUCCGGUGGUUCUGUAUGGAAGGGCCAUCGCUCAACGGAUAAAAGGUACUCCGGGGAUAACAGGCUGAUUCCGCCCAAGAGUUCAUAUCGACGGCGGAGUUUGGCACCUCGAUGUCGGCUCAUCACAUCCUGGGGCUGUAGUCGGUCCCAAGGGUAUGGCUGUUCGCCAUUUAAAGUGGUACGUGAGCUGGGUUUAAAACGUCGUGAGACAGUUUGGUCCCUAUCUGCAGUGGGCGUUGGAAGUUUGACGGGGGCUGCUCCUAGUACGAGAGGACCGGAGUGGACGAACCUCUGGUGUACCGGUUGUAACGCCAGUUGCAUAGCCGGGUAGCUAAGUUCGGAAGAGAUAAGCGCUGAAAGCAUCUAAGCGCGAAACUCGCCUGAAGAUGAGACUUCCCUUGUGGUUUAACCACACUAAAGAGUCGUUCGAGACCAGGACGUUGAUAGGUGGGGUGUGGAAGCGCGGUAACGCGUGAAGCUAACCCAUACUAAUUGCUCGUGAGGCUUGACUCU
Molecule: ribosomal RNA, 988 nt
Filed under: human metagenome
Description: bacterial LSU rRNA
Rfam family: Bacterial large subunit ribosomal RNA
Source: RNAcentral